Molecule: ribosomal RNA, 253 nt
Filed under: uncultured bacterium
Lineage: Bacteria
Description: partial 16S ribosomal RNA
Rfam family: Bacterial small subunit ribosomal RNA
Source: RNAcentral
UACGUAGGGACCAAGCGUUGUUCGGAUUUACUGGGCGUAAAGGGCGCGUAGGCGGCAAUUCAAGUCAUCUGUGAAAUCUCCGGGCUUAACUCGGAAAGGUCAACUGAUACUGUGCGACUAGAGUGCAGAAGGGGCAACUGGAAUUCUCGGUGUAGCGGUGAAAUGCGUAGAUAUCGAGAGGAACACCUGCGGCGAAGGCGGGUUGCUGGGCUGACACUGACGCUGAUGCGCGAAAGCCAGGGGAGCGAACGGG